AUAUUCUUAUCCCUUUCCCCUUUCUUCUUCUACUAAAACCUCUUCCCCCUUAUGUUUUCCCUCCAGCCGAGACCCUAACCACCGCCCAGAUCGGAAGUCGAACAUCCGCCGCGCACCGUGCCUCUGCAGAAACACAGUCGCCCGCGUCCGCACAGCUAUGACACCUAACAGCUCACGUCCGUGUCGCUUCGUCUACCUAGUCGCGCCGCGCAAGAGACCUUUGUCGCUUGUUUGUCCUUGUGAGAUCUAGCCACCGACUGGGUCAUCUGUUUGUGCUCGUCGACCGACCACCGAAGUCGCUGCCAAGAUCUGUUCAAGCCCCAGCCGCACGAUCCCCGUCUCACUGUACGACGCUGUUAGUCUUCGCCGUCUCCGUCGAAGCACACCACCACAACAGCCGUCCUCGCUCCGCUCGUCACGCCUGGCUGAUGUUCUCUUCUUCAGCCCAUCACAGCAACUGGAACCCGUGGCUAGUCGCCAGAAUUUUUGACCUUAGAAUCAAGCUUCAAGAAUUUUGGUUAGUUGCCGAACUCGUUCGAAGCCAUUUCUUUAGACAUUUGGGUGCCGUGUGAUCUGCUGUCGUCGGCAUCGUGCAUCCGGGUCGAGAAGCGUGUGUCCGCAGCUUGCAGUUGCAAUAGUCGUUCACCCCUAGUCCGGAUCCUGGCCCAGCGCACCACCACCAACGAAGGUCUCCCCCACUAAACUGCUAUUCACCGCGACGGACUUCUACUUUUGCUUGCUGGAUUUGAGGGUUUCGUCGGAAAGCUUGGUUUUGGGUAAGAUCUUGGUGGGUUUUAUGAAUUUUCGUGAAUGGAUCUUGAUUACCCAUUUGAUUUUGGGUUAAUUUUGAUAAAAUCCAUUAUAUUUGGGUCAUAGAUUCGAGUUUUAGUGGAGGUUGAAGAUUGAAAGCAUGUUGUACGGUGUUACAAAGGUUUGAUUUUGGUUUGGUAAGUUUUGGUACCUUUGGUCCUUUUGGAUUUAGGGUAAUUGUUGAAAAUUUAGUUAUUAAAUAUUGGUUUUUAUUUAUGCUCAGAUUGGACACAGACACAUAAAUCGAGCUUUGGAACUGAACUUGAACCAAACCACAACUUUUGUUAAGCUUAAUUUGAGGACCUUUGGUAAUUUGUUAAAUUCAAUUAGACCCUAAAGAAUAAGUUGCAAGCAUUGGAUUUAUUGUUUUGUGCCAGAUAUGCUAAAUUAAACAUUGUAAUUUAUAUUAUAGGAGGGAUUAUGGUCUUCCAACUGUGUUCAAGGAAAUAUUGCUUGGAUUAAUUUUGAGAAUUGCGAUUUCAGGUAAGUAAUCCUACUACUGGAACUGCCCACGGGCUAGGCACUAGAUAUAUGCUAGCAUGAUAGAUGAAUAUUAUGACAAAACGAUAACAUGAUAGACGGAUAGUAUCGUAUGACCGAUAUAUGUUCUUGUAUGAUGAUCUGAAAGAUUUAUUUGUGUACGUAGAUACUUGCAUGCUAGUAUGAGAUGAUACUUGAUUCAAUGAGGUUGUAUUUGAUAUGUGGAUAUUGAGACAUAUAUGCAUGUUGUAAAGCCAGGAUGUUGAGGUAUAUAUGUAUGUUAUAGAACCAUGUUGUGAUAAUUAUGAUGUUGUGACUGUGAUAGUGUCUUUACUGAUUAGUUAGAUGCCCACUAGAUAUUGUGUUUCCUUCGGGAUUCACCAGA
Molecule: non-coding RNA, 1675 nt
Organism: Benincasa hispida (wax gourd)
Lineage: Eukaryota; Viridiplantae; Streptophyta; Magnoliopsida; Cucurbitales; Cucurbitaceae
Source: RefSeq, a predicted model, not a curated record